UUAAACAUUUAUGGCUAUUAGAUGGGUAUGCGUCCUAUUAGUUAGUUGGUUAAGGUAACGGCUUACCUAAGGCGAGCGAUAGGUAGGGGUCCGUGAGAGGGAGAUCCCCACACUGGUACUGAGACACGGACCAGACUCCUACGGGAGGCAGCAGUGAGGAAUAUUGGACAAUGGGCGAGAGCCUGAUCCAGCCAUGCCGCGUGCAGGAAGACUGCCCUAUGGGUUGUAAACUGCUUUUUACAGAGGAAGAACCACCCCCACGUGUGGGGGGUUUGACGGUACUCUGCGAAUAAGGAUCGGCUAACUCCGUG
RNAcentral lists this ribosomal RNA (311 nucleotides) under uncultured bacterium. Its description in RNAcentral is "bacterial SSU rRNA". It matches the Rfam family "Bacterial small subunit ribosomal RNA", at positions 201 to 507 of the family's 1533-position model. The record is from RNAcentral.